GACGAACGCUGGCGGCGUGCUUAACACAUGCAAGUCGAACGGUAAGGCCCUUCGGGGUACACGAGUGGCGAACGGGUGAGUAACACGUGGGUGAUCUGCCCUGCACUUCGGGAUAAGCCUGGGAAACUGGGUCUAAUACCGGAUAGGACACUGCCUGCAUGGGUGGUGGUGGAAAGCUUUUGCGGUGUGGGAUGGGCCCGCGGCUUAUCAGCUUGUUGGUGGGGUGAUGGCCUACCAAGGCGACGACGGGUAGCCGGCCUGCGAGGGUGACCGGCCACACUGGGACUGAGAUACGGCCCAGACUCCUCCGGGAGGCAGCAGUGGGGAAUAUUGCACAAUGGGCGCAAGCCUGGUGCAGGGACGCCGCGUGAGGGAUGACGGCCUUCCGGUUGUAAACCUCUUUCAGCACCGACGAAGCGCAAGUGACGGUAGGUGCAGAAGAAGGACCGGCCAACUACGUGCCAGCCGCCGCGGUAA
This 477-nucleotide ribosomal RNA is filed under the name uncultured bacterium. Its description in RNAcentral is "partial 16S ribosomal RNA". It matches the Rfam family "Bacterial small subunit ribosomal RNA", at positions 28 to 523 of the family's 1533-position model. The record is from RNAcentral.